UGGGGAAUAUUGCACAAUGGAGGGAACUCUGAUGCAGCGACGCCGCGUGAACGAAGAAGGCUUUCGAGUCGUAAAGUUCUUUUAUAUGGGAAGAUAAUGAUGGUACCAUAAGAAAAAGCCCCGGCUAACUACGUGCCAGCAGCCGCGGUAAUACGUAGGGGGCUAGCGUUGUCCGGAAUCACUGGGCGUAAAGGGUUCGCAGGCGGAAAUGCAAGUCAGGUGUAAAAGGCAGUAGCUUAACUACUGUAAGCAUUUGAAACUGCAUAUCUUGAGAAGAGUAGAGGUAAGUGGAAUUUUUAGUGUAGCGGUGAAAUGCGUAGAUAUUAAAAAGAAUACCGGUGGCGAAGGCGACUUACUGGGCUCAUUCUGACGCUGAGGAACUAAAGCGUGGGUAGCAAACAGG
Molecule: ribosomal RNA, 403 nt
Filed under: Fusobacteriota bacterium
Lineage: Bacteria; Fusobacteriati; Fusobacteriota
Description: Fusobacteria bacterium partial 16S ribosomal RNA
Rfam family: Bacterial small subunit ribosomal RNA
Source: RNAcentral